This 450-nucleotide ribosomal RNA is filed under the name uncultured Glomeromycotina. RNAcentral's name for it is "SSU rRNA". It matches the Rfam family "Eukaryotic small subunit ribosomal RNA", at positions 569 to 1025 of the family's 1831-position model. The record is from RNAcentral. Lineage: Eukaryota; Fungi; Glomeromycota.
AGCAGCCGCGGUAAUUCCAGCUCCAAUAGCGUAUAUUAAAGUUGCUGCAGUUAAAAAGCUCGUAGUUGAAUUUCGGAACCAAUAUGUUGGUUGUGCCUCGGUACGUACUGGCAUUGUUGGUUUCUCCCUUCUGACGAACUAUGAUGUCAUUAAUUUGGUGUCAUGGGGAAUCAGGACUGUUACUUUGAAAAAUUAGAGUGUUUAAAGCAGGCUCACGCUUGAAUACAUUAGCAUGGAAUAAUGAAAUAGGACGUUUGAUUCUAUUUUGUUGGUUUCUAGGAUCGACGUAAUGAUUAAUAGGGAUAGUUGGGGGCAUUAGUAUUCAAUUGUCAGAGGUGAAAUUCUUGGAUUUAUUGAAGACUAACUACUGCGAAAGCAUUUGCCAAGGAUGUUUUCAUUAAUCAAGAACGAAAGUUAGGGGAUCGAAGACGAUCAGAUACCGUCGUAGUC